This 301-nucleotide ribosomal RNA is filed under the name uncultured bacterium. RNAcentral describes it as "partial 16S ribosomal RNA". It matches the Rfam family "Bacterial small subunit ribosomal RNA", at positions 509 to 807 of the family's 1533-position model. The record is from RNAcentral.
CAGCCGCCGCGGUAAUACGAAGGGGGCUAGCGUUGCUCGGAAUGACUGGGCGUAAAGGGCGCGUAGGCGGUUCGUACAGUUGGAUGUGAAAUUCCUGGGCUUAACCUGGGGGCUGCAUUCAAUACGUGUGGGCUUGAGUGUGGAAGAGGGUUGUGGAAUUCCCAGUGUAGAGGUGAAAUUCGUAGAUAUUGGGAAGAACACCGGUGGUGAAGGCGGCAACCUGGUCCAUAACUGACGCUGAGGCGCGAAAGCGUGGGGAGCAAACAGGAUUAGAUACCCCUGUAGUCCCUGUCUCUUAUAC